CAGGAUGAACGCUAGCUACAGGCUUAACACAUGCAAGUCGAGGGGCAGCAUGGAGUUUGCUUGCAAACUCUGAUGGCGACCGGCGCACGGGUGAGUAACGCGUAUCCAACCUUCCCUAUAGUAGAGGAUAGCCCGGCGAAAGUCGGAUUAAUACUCUAUGUUUUCCGUUGCAGACAUCUAAGAUGGAACAAAGGCUUGCCGCUAUAGGAUGGGGAUGCGUCUGAUUAGGUAGUCGGCGGGUAACGGCCCACCGAGCCAUCGAUCAGUAGGGGUUCUGAGAGGAAGGUCCCCCACAUUGGAACUGAGACACGGUCCAAACUCCUACGGGAGGCAGCAGUGAGGAAUAUUGGUCAAUGGGCAAGAGCCUGAACCAGCCAAGUAGCGUGCAGGAUGACGGCCCUAUGGGUUGUAAACUGCUUUUAUGCGGGGAUAAAGUUCACUACGUGUAGUGUUUUGUAGGUACCGCAUGAAUAAGGACCGGCUAAUUCCGUGCCAGCCGCGGC
RNAcentral lists this ribosomal RNA (503 nucleotides) under uncultured bacterium. Its description in RNAcentral is "bacterial SSU rRNA". It matches the Rfam family "Bacterial small subunit ribosomal RNA", at positions 25 to 518 of the family's 1533-position model. The record is from RNAcentral.